CAGUCGCCACGGGAAUACGGAGGGGGCUAGCGUUGUUCGGAAUUACUGGGCGUAAAGCGCACGUAGGCGGUUUUGCAAGUCAGAGGUGAAAGCCCGGGGCUCAACUCCGGAAUAGCCUUUGAGACUGCAUCGCUUGAACACGGGAGAGGUGAGUGGAAUUCCGAGUGUAGAGGUGAAAUUCGUAGAUAUUCGGAAGAACACCAGUGGCGAAGGCGGCUCACUGGACCGUUGUUGACGCUGAGGUGCGAAAGCGUGGGGAGCAAACAGGAUUAGAUACCCCAGUAGUCCCUGUCUCUUAUAC
RNAcentral lists this ribosomal RNA (301 nucleotides) under uncultured bacterium. RNAcentral describes it as "partial 16S ribosomal RNA". It matches the Rfam family "Bacterial small subunit ribosomal RNA", at positions 509 to 807 of the family's 1533-position model. The record is from RNAcentral.